AAACGUAGGGGGCGAGCGUUGUCCGGAAUUACUGGGCGUAAAGGGCGUGUAGGCGGCUAGGUAAGUCAGGUGUGAAAACUUUUGGCUCAACCAGGAGACUGCACUUGAAACUGCGUAGCUUGAGGGUAGGAGAGGAAAGUGGAAUUCCUAGUGUAGCGGUGAAAUGCGUAGAUAUUAGGAGGAACACCAGUGGCGAAGGCGACUUUCUGGCCUAACCCUGACGCUGAGGCGCGAAAGCGUGGGGAGCAAACAGGAUUAGAUACCCUGGUAGUCCACGCCGUAAACGAUGGGUACUAGGUGUAGGAGGUAUCGACCCCUUCUGUGCCGCAGCAAACGCAUUAAGUACCCCGCCUGGGGAGUACGGCCGCAAGGCUGAA
Molecule: ribosomal RNA, 377 nt
Filed under: uncultured bacterium
Lineage: Bacteria
Description: bacterial SSU rRNA
Rfam family: Bacterial small subunit ribosomal RNA
Source: RNAcentral